RNAcentral lists this ribosomal RNA (301 nucleotides) under uncultured bacterium. Its description in RNAcentral is "partial 16S ribosomal RNA". It matches the Rfam family "Bacterial small subunit ribosomal RNA", at positions 509 to 807 of the family's 1533-position model. The record is from RNAcentral.
CAGUCGCCGCGGUAAUACGUAGGGCGCGAGCGUUAAUCGGAAUUACUGGGCGUAAAGCGUGCGCAGGCGGUUGUGUAAGACAGGUGUGAAAUCCCCGGGCUUAACCUGGGAACUGCGCUUGUGACUGCACAGCUAGAGUAUGGCAGAGGGGGGUGGAAUUCCACGUGUAGCAGUGAAAUGCGUAGAGAUGUGGAGGAACACCGAUGGCGAAGGCAGCCCCCUGGGCCAAUACUGACGCUCAUGCACGAAAGCAUGGGGAGCAAACAGGAUUAGAUACCCGUGUAGUCCCUGUCUCUUAUAC